This 484-nucleotide ribosomal RNA is filed under the name uncultured bacterium. RNAcentral's name for it is "partial 16S ribosomal RNA". It matches the Rfam family "Bacterial small subunit ribosomal RNA", at positions 30 to 507 of the family's 1533-position model. The record is from RNAcentral.
AUUGAACGCUGGCGGCAGGCCUAACACAUGCAAGUCGAGCGGAGGAAGGGAGCUUGCUCCUGGAUUCAGCGGCGGACGGGUGAGUAAUGCCUAGGAAUCUGCCUGGUAGUGGGGGAUAACGUCCGGAAACGGGCGCUAAUACCGCAUACGUCCUGAGGGAGAAAGUGGGGGAUCUUCGGACCUCACGCUAUCAGAUGAGCCUAGGUCGGAUUAGCUAGUUGGUGGGGUAAAGGCCUACCAAGGCGACGAUCCGUAACUGGUCUGAGAGGAUGAUCAGUCACACUGGAACUGAGACACGGUCCAGACUCCUACGGGAGGCAGCAGUGGGGAAUAUUGGGCAAUGGGCGAAAGCCUUAUCCAGCCAUGCCGCGUGUGUGAAGAAGGUCUUCGGAUUGUAAAGCACUUUAAGUUGGGAGGAAGGGCAGUAAGUUAAUACCUUGCUGUUUUGACGUUACCAACAGAAUAAGCACCGGCUAACUUCGUG